GACGAACGCUGGCGGCGUGCUUAACACAUGCAAGUCGAACGGAAAGGCCCUGCUUUUGUGGCGUGCUUGAGUGGCGAACGGGUGACUCACACGUGAGUAACCUGCCAUUGCCUUUGGGCUACCUUAAGGUAACUGGGAUUCCUACUGGAUAGGCUUUCCUGCUGCAUGGUGGGGGUAGGCAAGUUUCGGCGGUUGGGGAUGGACUCACGGUUUAUCUGCUUGUUGGUGGGGUGUGGGCUUACCAAGGCUUUGGCGGGUAGCCGGCUGGGGGGGGGGACCGGCCACAUGGGGACGGAGAUACGGCCCAGACUCCUACGGGAGGCAGCGGGGGGAAAUAUGGAACAAGGGGCGGAAGCCGGAGGCAGCAACGCCGGGUGCGGGUGGACGGCCUUCGGGUGGUAAACCGCUUCCGCCGGUGACGAAGCGUUAGUGACGGUAAUGGGAAAAGAAGCACCGGCUAACUACGUG
This 468-nucleotide ribosomal RNA is filed under the name uncultured bacterium. RNAcentral's name for it is "partial 16S ribosomal RNA". It matches the Rfam family "Bacterial small subunit ribosomal RNA", at positions 28 to 507 of the family's 1533-position model. The record is from RNAcentral.